Molecule: ribosomal RNA, 404 nt
Filed under: uncultured prokaryote
Description: bacterial SSU rRNA
Rfam family: Bacterial small subunit ribosomal RNA
Source: RNAcentral
UGGGGAAUAUUGCACAAUGGGCGAAAGCCUGAUGCAGCAACGCCGCGUGAAGGAUGAAGGCCUUUGGGUCGUAAACUUCUGUCCUUGGGGAAGAACAAAAUGACGGUACCCUUGGAGGAAGCCCCGGCUAACUACGUGCCAGCAGCCGCGGUAAUACGUAGGGGGCGAGCGUUAUCCGGAAUUAUUGGGCGUAAAGAGUGCGUAGGUGGUCUUGUAAGCGGGGGGUGAAAGGCAUCGGCUUAACCGAUGUUAGCCCCCCGAACUGUGAGACUUGAGUACAGGAGAGGAAAGCGGAAUUCCUAGUGUAGCGGUGAAAUGCGUAGAUAUUAGGAGGAACACCAGUGGCGAAGGCGGCUUUCUGGACUGAAACUGACACUGAGGCACAAAAGCGUGGGGAGCAAACA